Molecule: ribosomal RNA, 731 nt
Filed under: uncultured bacterium
Lineage: Bacteria
Description: bacterial SSU rRNA
Rfam family: Bacterial small subunit ribosomal RNA
Source: RNAcentral
GCACGCGAAAGGGGGCAACCCCGAGUAGAGUGGCGGACGGUGCGUAACGCGUAGGAAUAUACCUGGUAGUGGGGGACAACCCGGCGAAAGCCGGGCUAAUACCGCAUACGAUCUACGGAUGAAAGCAGGGGACCGCAAGGCCUUGCGCUAUCAGAUUAGCCUGCGUCGGAUUAGCUAGUUGGUGAGGUAAAGGCUCACCAAGGCAACGAUCCGUAGCUGGUUUGAGAGAACGACCAGCCACACUGGGACUGAGACACGGCCCAGACUCCUACGGGAGGCAGCAGUGGGGAAUAUUGGACAAUGGGGGCAACCCUGAUCCAGCAAUGCCGCGUGUGUGAAGAAGGCCUUCGGGUUGUAAAGCACUUUCGAUGGGGAAAAACAAGUCAGACCUAACACGUCUGGCCCUGAUGGUACCCAGAGAAGAAGCACCGGCUAACUCUGUGCCAGCAGCCGCGGUAAUACAGAGGGUGCAAGCGUUAAUCGGAAUUACUGGGCGUAAAGGGUGCGUAGGUGGUUUGUUAAGUCAGGCGUGAAAUCCCUGGGCUCAACCUGGGAACUGCGUUUGAUACUGGCAGACUCGAGUCUGGUAGAGGGUAGUGGAAUUCCGCAUGUAGCGGUGAAAUGCGUAGAUAUGCGGAGGAACAUCAGUGGCGAAGGCGGCUACCUGGACCAAGACUGACACUGAGGCACGAAAGCGUGGGGAUCAAACAGGAUUAGAUACCCUGGUAGUC